GUAACGCGUGGGAAUCUACCUUAUAGUGGGGGAUAGCCCGAAGAAAUUCGGAUUAAUACCGCAUAAGCCCUACGGGGGAAAAGGGGCCUCUCCUUGGAAGCUCUUGCUAUUAGAUGAGCCCGCGUAAGAUUAGCUUGUUGGUGGGGUAAUGGCCUACCAAGGCAACGAUCUUUAGCUGGUCUGAGAGGAUGAUCAGCCACACUGGGACUGAGACACGGCCCAGACUCC
Molecule: ribosomal RNA, 228 nt
Filed under: uncultured bacterium
Lineage: Bacteria
Description: partial 16S ribosomal RNA
Rfam family: Bacterial small subunit ribosomal RNA
Source: RNAcentral